CCCGUCACAUCACGAAAGUGAGUUGUACUAGAAGUCGUCACGCUGACCGCAAGGAGGCAGACGCCCAAGGUAUGACUCAUGAUUGGGGUG
This 90-nucleotide ribosomal RNA is filed under the name uncultured bacterium. RNAcentral describes it as "partial 16S ribosomal RNA". It matches the Rfam family "Bacterial small subunit ribosomal RNA", at positions 1393 to 1482 of the family's 1533-position model. The record is from RNAcentral.